RNAcentral lists this unclassified non-coding RNA (1104 nucleotides) under Penaeus chinensis. RNAcentral describes it as "carbohydrate sulfotransferase 11-like, transcript variant X5". The record is from RNAcentral. Lineage: Eukaryota; Metazoa; Arthropoda; Malacostraca; Decapoda; Penaeidae.
UCGGCGGAGCGGGAUGGAGAGUGUGUACAUAACGGCCGCAUGUGAGGCAGGGCGGGCGUCCAGUGGCAGGGAAACUCGGGGACUCAGUCAGAGGAAGAUGGUCAUUGAUUGCACGUCUUAGGAAGUUCCUGGCGAAAUUCUGGGACACGGAGGUAAUCUCAUGGCACCUUUGAAGUAGAAAUCUGCAUAAAAUUGGCAGCAAAUUUCCCUGAGAAGAGAGCUCGCCACCUCUUGUGUAGUCUCUGCCGGCGCUUUGUUGCUGUGCCGCGCAUGCUAGACGAGAGGCAACAGUCACGGAAUCGCCUUAAUCUUCCCAACAGUACAGCCCGAAGUUUCUGUCUGAAAAGGCCGCCGGGCUCUGAGUUGACCGAAAUGACUUGCAAGGCGAAACGGAGGCUGUGCUGGCUGGUCGUCCUGGCCUUGUCACUCCUGUGGUGCUUCAAAAUGACACUUUAUUCAGGAUAUGCAAGUUAUCACAAAGGAAUGAUUAUCUCUGUAAGAGAACGCGAGCAGGAACAGGACGCCCUCAAGCAGCGACAAAGGCCUUUCACGACCUUGCCUUCUGUCCGCCGCAACCAAACAGACUUUAGUCCUGAAGUUCAUCUGGUGAGGCAAGCGUCCUCAGCCGCAGAUCAGCCAGAGCACAAACAGGUCAGCCCUGCGGAGGACGCCUGGAAGCUAGAGCAAGACAGAAGGAAGGCGGCAGUCAUGAGGGGGUGCGCCGGAUGGAGGGAAGCCGUGUCAGACUACACGCCUUCCUCUUGGCAGGAGAUGACGUCCCUCCUGGUGGACGACAAGCACAAGGCGAUCUACUGCUACGUGCCGAAGGCUGCCUGUACGAACUGGAAGCGGCUUUGGAUGAUCUGACGGGGUUGACGGAGGCAAAGGAACCGAUGGAAAUCUACAGCGGCGCCCCCCACCAAGUGCAUAACAAAAUGAGACUCGUGACCCAGAAGCUAACUAGAAGUCAAAUUCAAAAGAAGCUGGAGACCUACACCAAGAUGAUCGUCGUGCGCCACCCAUUCGAGCGACUCCUCUCAGCCUAUCUUGAUAAAUUUGUUGUAUCUGGCAACUCCUACUACAUGAAGAAUUUCGCACGCCCGA